AACGAACGCUGGCGGCGUGGCUAAGACAUGCGAGUCGAACGGACUGGUCAAUUUAUUGAACAGUUAGUGGCGUAAGGGUUAGUAACGGAUAGGUAACGUACCCUGUGCUUUGGGAUAGCGUCAGUUGCCUUCGGGCAACUUUCCGAAAGGGGCGGUAAUACCAGAUAAUAUCAUUUGUCGAUAGGCAGAUGAUCAAAGAUUUAUCGGCAUAGGAGCGGCCUGUUUCCUAUCAGCUUGUUGGUGAGGUAACGGCUCACCAAGGCAACGACGGGUAGCGGGACUGAGAGGUUGACCCGCAACAUCGGGACUGAGACACUGCCCGGACCUCCACGGAGGGCUGCAGUAACGGAUCUUGUGCAAUGGGCGAAAGCCUGACACAGCGACGCCGCGUGUAGGAUGAAGUCUCUCGGGAUGUAAACUACUGUCAGGGGGAAGAAAGUGCGCUCCGGCGUAUUGAUCUAACCCAGAGGAAGUCACGGCUAACUUCGUGCCAGCAGCCGCGGUAAGACGAAGGUGGCAAGCGUUGUUCGGUAUUACUGGGCUUAAAGCGUGUGUAGGCGGAAAUGUAAGCGUUGCGUGAAAGCCCCCGGCUUAACCGGGGAAUUGCGCAACGAACUGCUUUUCUUGAGGCAAGUAGGGGUGCAUGGAACUCUUGGUGGAGCGGUGGAAUGCGUAGAUAUCAAGAGGAACGCCAGUGGAGAAAUCGGUGCACUGGGCUUGUCCUGACGCUGAGACACGAAAGCGUGGGGAGCGAACGGGAUUAGAUACCCCGGUAGUCCACGCCGUAAACGAUGCCUACUAGGUUGUGGUGGUUCUGACACCAGCACAGCCGAAGCAAAAGUGCUAAGUAGGCCGCCUGGGGAGUACGGUCGCAAGGCUA
RNAcentral lists this ribosomal RNA (880 nucleotides) under uncultured Chloroflexota bacterium. Its description in RNAcentral is "bacterial SSU rRNA". It matches the Rfam family "Bacterial small subunit ribosomal RNA", at positions 28 to 896 of the family's 1533-position model. Lineage: Bacteria; Bacillati; Chloroflexota. The record is from RNAcentral.